AUUGAACGCUGGCGGCAGGCCUAACACAUGCAAGUCGAGCGGAUGAAGGGAGCUUGCUCCUGGAUUCAGCGGCGGACGGGUGAGUAAUGCCUAGGAAUCUGCCUGGUAGUGGGGGAUAACGUCCGGAAACGGGCGCUAAUACCGCAUACGUCCUGAGGGAGAAAGUGGGGGAUCUUCGGACCUCACGCUAUCAGAUGAGCCUAGGUCGGAUUAGCUAGUUGGUGGGGUAAAGGCCUACCAAGGCGACGAUCCGUAACUGGUCUGAGAGGAUGAUCAGUCACACCGGAACUGAGACACGGUCCAGACUCCUACGGGAGGCAGCAGUGGGGAAUAUUGGACAAUGGGCGAAAGCCUGAUCCAGCCAUGCCGCGUGUGUGAAGAAGGUCUUCGGAUUGUAAAGCACUUUAAGUUGGGAGGAAGGGCAGUAAGUUAAUACCUUGCUGUUUUGACGUUACCAACAGAAUAAGCACCGGCUAACUUCGUG
This 484-nucleotide ribosomal RNA is filed under the name uncultured bacterium. Its description in RNAcentral is "partial 16S ribosomal RNA". It matches the Rfam family "Bacterial small subunit ribosomal RNA", at positions 30 to 507 of the family's 1533-position model. The record is from RNAcentral.